CCUACGGGAGGCAGCAGUGAGGAAUAUUGGUCAAUGGCCGAGAGGCUGAACCAGCCAAGUCGCGUGAGGGAAGAAUGUCCUAUGGAUUGUAAACCUCUUUUGUCAGGGAGCAAAGUCACCCACGUGUGGGUGUUGGAGAGUACCUGAAGAAAAAGCAUCGGCUAACUCCGUACCAGCAGCCGCGGUAAUACGGAGGAUGCGAGCGUUAUCCGGAUUUAUUGGGUUUAAAGGGUGCGUAGGCGGGUUAUCAAGUCAGCGGUAAAAGCGUGGAGCUCAACUCCAUCCAGCCGUUGAAACUGAUGAUCUUGAGUGGGCGAGAGGUAUGCGGAAUGCGUGGUGUAGCGGUGGAAUGCAUAGAUAUCACGCAGAACUCCGAUUGCGAAGGCAGCAUACCGGCGCCCGACUGACGCUGAAGCACGAAAGCGUGGGUAUCGAACAGGAUUAGAUACCCUAGUAGUC
This 459-nucleotide ribosomal RNA is filed under the name uncultured bacterium. Its description in RNAcentral is "partial 16S ribosomal RNA". It matches the Rfam family "Bacterial small subunit ribosomal RNA", at positions 338 to 795 of the family's 1533-position model. The record is from RNAcentral.